This 5342-nucleotide long non-coding RNA is filed under the name Theobroma cacao (cacao). RNAcentral's name for it is "long non-coding RNA (TCAC_LNC001510)". The record is from RNAcentral. Lineage: Eukaryota; Viridiplantae; Streptophyta; Magnoliopsida; Malvales; Malvaceae.
UUUUUUUUUUAUUUUGUUGUGGCUGGUAGGUAGCUUAGCCAUUAAAGCUGGGGAUCCAAGAUUCAAGUCAGCUGGCAAAUCUCUUCCCUUCAAAAAAGGAUUAGAGGGAGUUCAUUCCCAUCUUCUAUGAAUGUUGAUUAAGAAUGAUAAUUCCAACAUAUAAUAUGAUUUGAAAAGAGACAUCUAUAUAAAUUGAUUAGAGUUUAAAAUUCAAUAUGAAAAUUCAAUUUAGAUAUCAUGUCUGUAUGCAUAAUUACAUCGAUUUUAAAACAAAUAUCUUUACUUUUGCAUAAAAAUCAAUCAUCUUUUUUAUUAAUCAUGUUAUAUCGUAAUCAAAUUGAAUGUUUUUACAUCGAAUUAGAUUUAGAUUUUAUUAAUAAUUUUACAUUGAUUUGACUUUUGUACGAAGUAAUUAUUUAAAAGUUUUUGUAUCAGUUACUUUUAUAUAAUAUUAUCGUGAAAUCGAUAGAUGAAUAUAUGAUUAAUUGGAGAAAACUAUUUUUUAAAAUUAGAGAAAAAUAACAGAUGGUCUUUGCUCAUGAAAAUGACUAUGAUUAGCCACUCAAAGCAUAUUUGAUUAGGGGAGGGGGGGUCUCAAUUAUGAUUAUGAAAUGGGACAAGGGAAGUGGGACCCAUGUUUGGAUUCAAAGACAAUUUUUGUGGGGCCGAGGAUUAGAUUUCCACGUGGGGUUGUUAUUCUCUGCUGUCAUGUCGUUUCCAUCAACUACUUCUCCUCCAACAGAGUACAAUCCUCGACAGCAAAACAAAUCAGCUCUCAAUAUUUUGCAUCACGCGUUUGCUGUUCUGUGGCUCGUUUAUUGGUCGUUGUUCUACACGCGCUUUUAUUCGUACGUUGAGUUCUCUUAGUUAUUUUUUGCCCGACGUGUGAUUUGGAUCCCACAUUCUCCGCUUUUUCUUUACCCAUUUUUCAUCUUCUUUUUAGCACCUUUUACUUUUUAGUGGCAUAAAGAAAUAAAAAUUCUAAUAUUGCGCAUUUUAAAUAAUUAUCCUAGAUAUUAAUUUUUGGAAAAUAAUUAUUAAUAUUAUUAUUCUCUGUAAUAUAAAUAUUAUCAAAAAAUUAAUUAAAAUUAAACUAGUUAUGAAAAAAAUUAAAAAUAUAUCAUUAAAUGAUUUUUUUGGUCGUAUGUAAUCUUAAGCUAUAUAAAAAGAGAUAAGUAUGUUAUUCUAUAAAUUAUGCUCUCUCUCUCUCUUUAUAAUUUGAACUCAAGAUUUUCAAAUGAAAAAGUUUAAAUAAGUUAUUAUUCUUUUAUUAUAGUUAAUCAAAUUUUUAUAUUUUUAUUUUAAAUCAAAUAGACACUUAUAUUUGUCGGUUGACUAAUUAUUAUUAAUGAAAAUAUCACUAGUCAUUUUUAUACCCAUUUGACACUAACAUGACGCUGACAUUAGGAAAAAAAAUAUCUCAUGAUUAUAUCAUCAUAUCACAUUAGUAUACUACAUCAUCAUCUAUUACGACAUGUUAACAUCAUGUGAUAUAAAAUGACAAAUGAUAUUUUGAUUAAGAAUAAUUAAUCAAUAAUUGAUUUUAAGGAUUUAUCUAGUUCAAAAUAAAAAUACAAAAACUUGAUUGAAUAUAAUAAAAGAAUAAACAAUUAUUUAAAUUUUUUUAAAUAGUUCAUAGACUUUUUUUAAGUAUUAUGCCAAAUAUCAUAUUUUUGUUACAUCGAAAUGUUUUUCGGAGACUAAAUUAUUAAGUUCCUGUGAAUUACAUCUUUCGACAAAAUAAAUUUUUAUUAGAAAAAAUGUAUGACUUAAUUAAGAUGAUUUUUUCCAUAUAUGUGAUUACAAUUAGCUCCAGAUCAUCCAUAUAAUGUCAAUCACAUGUCACAUUUGUUAUAAAGCAUUUGAGCAAAUGCAUAUGGUAUCCAUAUGGAUAUCACGUGUCACUUGAUCUCAUUUUUGGCAUGAUACAUUAUUUGAUCACAUCCCAUGUUGUCUUCUUCCAAAUAAUAAAUACACAUCAAUUAUAUGUCAAAGUGAAUACAAGCAAUGGCAUACAUGUGCAUGUCACGUGCUAGUUCAUUUCCUUUAUAAAUAUACAAAUAAUAAUUAUAUACUAUCAUUUAAUCAUAAAAUAUCUCGUAAAUUUAUAAAAUUAGAAAUUUAAAAUAUAUAAAAAUAAAUAAUUUUAAAAUUUAUUUUAUAAAUGAUAUGAUAAUGACAUUGUAACAAACAUGAACGUAUGAUGUAUUUCUCUUUGAAAUAAUUUGGACCAACCUUAAUUGAGUUUAGCACUUUGACUUUGAUGUUUUUUCAAUCACACAUCAAUUAUGUCAUGAUAAGAUUCGAGUGAACACAUAUAACAUACAUACAUGUGAACGUCACAGGUUAGUUGAUUUUCUAUUUGAUGUGAAACAAAUAUCUCACCAAAUUGUUUCCCUUUCAAACAUUUCACUCUUUAAUUGUGUUUCUCAUUUUAAUUUAUUUUAACCUUAUUUCUUUCAAAAUGCUCUUUUAUUAUUGCAUAAUAUUUAAAAAAAUUUUGAAUUAUUUUAAAAAAAUUCAAAUAAGUAUUAUCCUUUUAUUGCUUUCAAUUAAACGCUUAUAUAUUUUUUAAUCAAAUAAGUUUUUAUAAUUAAUGAUUGACUAACUAUUAUUAAUUAAAAUAUUUCUUGUCAUUCUAUGUUGCUUGACGUUAAUGUAUAACAUGUUGGUAUGUCAUAUGAUAAUAACAUGACAUACUAAUUUAACAAAAUGUUAUAGCAAUAUGAUAUUUUUCACUUAACAAGUUAUCGUCAUAUAGAUAUAAAAUGAUAUAUGAUAUUUAAACUAAUGAUAAUUAGUCAACCCGUAAUUAUAAAAGCAUAUUUGUUCAAAAAUAAAAAAACAAGAACUUAAUUGAAUGUAAUAGAAUAAUAAAAAUUUAUUUAAAAUUUUCUUGAAUAGUUUAUGAGUUUUUUCAAACAUUAUGCGAUUGUUAUUUUAUUCACUUUGACAUUUCAAAAAAAAAAUUAUUCAGUUUAUUCCUUUAUUCAAAUUCAUAAAAUUAAUUCAAACCAAAUUCAAAACUUUUAAAAGAUUGGAGAUGGGAUUUUUUUUAUUAUCAAAAAAUCGAUAUUUAAUCCAACUCUUUGAAUAAGAUACAUAUGCACUUAAUUAUAAUAAAAUGUUUUAAUUUUUUUUUCUCUUUAUUUGCGAUCCUUUUUGUCGAAGAAAAUGAAGGAGAAACAACUUUUCUUCCUCUCUUUUAUUUUUCUUUUCUCAUCUUUUUCUCUAAUUAUUAUUUUCUUUUCUUCAUGUAACAACUACAAUUUACCUAAUAUUAAUCAAUUUGGUAAACUAUAAUGUGCUAUUAAUUAGUUAACCCGGUUAAAUUAUACUCCUAACAUAAUUUCAUUGUCUAUUUCAUUUCUCUAUUAAUCAAAGGUGUUAGAAACAAACUUGAUGAAAUGUAUACUUGAUAUGCCAUGUGGAACUUCUAUGCUGGUACGGAGUAUCCCAUGCGACAAUACGAGGUAAAGAUGAAUUAAUUUUUCAUUCAACACAUGUCGUGUGACACCUCUCGAGGGAGUAUCAUUAAUAUAUAUAUUUUUAAUCAUAUUUAAAAUAUUUAAAUUCUGUUUGAUGGAUAAUUUUAUUCUUUUUACUUGAAAAAUCGUUAUAGUCAAAAACAAAGAAACAUAAAAUAAUAUCAUAAUUAAUUUAAGAUAGAUAAAUAACAAAAAAUAACACCUAUUUACAACAUAAUUAAUUAAUAUAAAAAAAUCCCAAACAAACAAUAUUCUCUCACAUGCAUAGAUAUGCCGUCAAUAAAAUCUACUUUAUCAGAAUCUGUGUAGGAGCACGGGUAAGGAUUAAUUAAUGCUUUGAUGAAAUCUGUUAUUAUCUAAAACUAAUCAUUACACUUUGAUUAUACAAUCCCACUUUCCUCUUUCAUCAGUCUUUAUUCUCCAUCAUCCAAAGGGACAUCCAAGAAUUAGUAUUUAUUAUUAUUAUUUUUUUAUCUUUCCCUUGGAUAUAAAUCGGGGUGAUCAGUUUUCUUCUUUUGGGUUUAGGGUUUUUAUUAGAUUUUGCUUCCUUCAAAUCAAAGAUGGAAACCCCAUUUCAAGACUGAAAUUUAACAGUUUAUGCAUUGCAUAAAGUGAAUGUUCAAGAAUUACCACACUGGCAUGAUCUGAUCUGGAGUCCCAUCAGUGCAGAAAGACUGAAAUUUUAAGGAAUCACCAAGCCCAAAAAAAAAAAAAGGGUCAAAAUUAGAAAUAAAAAAAAAAGUAAAUGGGGAAAGAGAGAACCGAAAAUAAGAUGAUUUUUUUUUUGUAAUUAAUUGGACAAAACAUGAGUAAGCUGAUAAGAAGUUGAGAAAUUAUGCUAAGAAGCAAAACUCUAAGACUAGUAUAAGAAGUUGAAAUGAAAUAAGUAAUUAACACUAUCCUUAAGUAUGCAAGCAAGUAAAAGAAAAGGAUCAAACUGUAGGUCUGGGAUGGAAAGAUAAAACUUAAGAUUCAGAUUCUUUCACUGAAUCAAGUUUUCAAGCACAAAAUUCACACCAUAUAAUUUCAAAGAGAAAAACUUGUUAUGGUAAGGGAGGAGGAGAAGCCAAGGAAAGGAGCAUAUAUAGUGAAAGAAAAUUAAGAAAAGAUGAUCAUUAUAUUUGAUAUACACAUAUAACAAAAAAAAAAAAAAAGGAAAGAAAAUCUAAAGCUAGUAGCAGGUAGCUUCCAAGCAGCAACACAUGUAGAGAUACUUCAAAUUUCUCCCCCCAUAUAUUUUCAGUCUUGCCAGCAGAGAAGCAUGAUAAUACAUCUUCUUAUUAUGUAAAGCCUACCUCUUUCUUCCCUAAGGAACCCUCCAAUUCCCUUGCAUGGACACCUCCUCUUAGACCCUCCAAUUGUAGAGUUUUUCAUCUUCAUCUCUUCUUUGUCAAUAAUGGAAUUUAUUUGCCUUUUCUUUUAAAUUCUAAUUGGUUGGCUUCAAGAAUUCAGUGAACCUUUUUUGCUCUCAGUUCUCUCUGCUGGAUGGAUGGAUCAUUCUUGGAGUUUGAAUGAGGGGCUUAGCUUUCAGUAAUGAUUGACUCUUCUCUUUUUUUGAGAGGUUUGCAUGAACUAGAAGAGCAGGAAAGAAAAGGGAGUGUUCUUAUAGGGAGGAGAAGGUAUGGUCGAGGCUCCACCUGGGCCCAAAUAAAGGAAACCGAAUGUGGUUGAACAAAGGGAUAUGUUUGUGUUUUAUGUCUCUCUUUUCACCGGGCACUGCACUUUGGACCCCAACCCUAUUAUCUGGAAAUAUGUUCAGAAACCAAACAAAAAACUCCCCAUCCCUGCUUUCUCACUUAUGCUUCAUCUCUCUGACAUCUGUAAGCAAGCCUAGGGACAUUUUCUUGGUCCAAU